This 460-nucleotide ribosomal RNA is filed under the name uncultured bacterium. Its description in RNAcentral is "partial 16S ribosomal RNA". It matches the Rfam family "Bacterial small subunit ribosomal RNA", at positions 338 to 795 of the family's 1533-position model. The record is from RNAcentral.
CCUACGGUCGGCAGCAGUGAGGAAUAUUGGUCAAUGGCCGGAAGGCUGAACCAGCCAUGCCGCGUGAAGGUCAGUGCACUAUGGGCGUUAAACUUCUUUUGUGCGGGAGCAAUAAUGGUCACGUGUGGCCAGACGAGAGUACCGUACGAAUAAGCAUCGGCUAACUCCGUGCCAGCAGCCGCGGUAAUACGGGGGAUGCAAGCGUUAUCCGGAUUUAUUGGGUUGAAAGGGUGCGUAGGCUGGGAGGUAAGUCAGCGGGGAAAUGCCCCCGCUCAACGGGGUGAAGUGCCAUUGAGACUGCAUGGCUGGAAUGCGGAAGCGGUGGGAGGAAUGUGUGGUGUAGCGGUGAAAUGCAUAGAUAUCACACAGAACACCGAUUGCGAAGGCGGCUCACGAGUCCGCGAUUGACGCUGAUGCACGAAAGCGUGGGUAUCAAACAGGAUUAGAUACCCGAGUAGUC